RNAcentral lists this ribosomal RNA (422 nucleotides) under uncultured bacterium. RNAcentral's name for it is "partial 16S ribosomal RNA". It matches the Rfam family "Bacterial small subunit ribosomal RNA", at positions 360 to 775 of the family's 1533-position model. The record is from RNAcentral.
AAUUUUGGACAAUGGGGGAAACCCUGAUCCAGCCAUCCCGCGUGUAUGAUGAAGGCCUUCGGGUUGUAAAGUACUUUUGGCAGAGAAGAAAAGGUACCCCCUAAUACGAGGUACUGCUGACGUUAUCUGCAGAACAAGCACCGACUAACUACGUGCCAUCAGCCGCGGUAAUACGAAGGGUGAAGCGUUAAUCGGAAUUACUGGGCGUAAAGCGUGUGUAGGCGGUGCGGAAAGAAAGAUGCGAAAUCGCAGGGCGCAACCUUGGAAAUGCAUUUUUAACUGCCGAGCGAGAGUAUGUCAGAGGGGGGUAGAAUUCCACGUGUAGCAGUGAAAUGCGUAGAUAUGUGGAGGAAUACCGAUGGCGAAGGUAGCCCCCUGGGAUAAUACUGACGCUCAGACACGAAAGCGUGGGGAGCAAACAG